UACAGACGAUAGAGGUAUUCUUGCUUGACUAAGACAACAUCACAAUAACCAGGAGCCGAGUGUGAUAACAAAACAAUAUGAUGAUAGAAAAAUUUUUGACAAUUUCCCUGUGUUGUUCCUGUUUUAUUUUUGGGCAACACCAAAUGCGAAAUGAAUCCUUUUCCAGCCUCCAUCCACUCGCGAGAACCUGAAGAACCUGAAACAUCUAUUGGUAUAGCGCGACAACAAUCCACCACGUCUUUCGCAGGAACAAAGCGGUCUCUCACUGGAAACAUCUUGUUUCCGCAGAUUCCGAGUAUAAAUCAGCAGUCAAUCCAAACAGUCAGGAAAAGCACGGCUUUAAAGUCUAACGGCUUUAUUCGUCCAACUUUAUCAUCCACAGCAAACACUACACGUAUCAUUGCAAGCCAAAUACGUGAUGUGCCGGAUGCAGUGGGGAUAUCCAGUGAUACCAUAUCUGAAUACUCGCAACGGCAAGCUGUUUCAUCAACCCCAGGACCAUCGCAGAAUCCUCUGCUCUCACUUUCACAUCAAUCCUAUGGGUUGCCCCCUCAGUUGGUUGCCAAUUUUGCCUCUCUAGGCGUGAACUGUAUCUAUCCAUGGCAAGCUUCCUGUCUUCUGGGUCGAGGCCAUCUCACUGCGGAAAAGAACCUCGUAUACAGUGCGCCAACUGGCGGUGGAAAAUCCCUGGUAGCAGAUGUGCUGAUGCUGAAACGUGUCAUUGAGGAUCCAGCCAAGAGAGCUAUCCUUGUUCUUCCCUAUGUUGCUCUCGUGCAGGAGAAGCUCAAGUGGCUUCGCCGAGUAGUUGAAGGUGUGGAUAAAAACGUUGACAUGCCGACCACUGCAGACGAGGCCUCCUCGGCACCCAAAUGGAAACAACCGCAGAAGUCCAUUCGGGUUACAGGAUUUUUUGGCGGAAGCAAAACUAGAGCUACAUGGACUGAUACUGACAUAGCCGUUUGUACUAUUGAAAAGGCUAAUUCGUUAGUGAAUGCUGCCAUUGAGGAAUGUAGCAUUAAUGACCUGGGCGUUGUUGUCUUGGAUGAGCUCCAUAUGCUUGAUGAUGAGCAUCGUGGUUAUCUGAUAGAGAUUAUGGUUACAAAAUUAUUGUUAUUACAGCAAGAUAUCCAAAUCGUUGGUAUGAGUGCCACAUUAUCGAAUACUGAGGUCCUCGCGAAAUGGCUGCAUGCGAAUUACUAUAUUUCCAAAUAUCGGCCUAUACCUAUUCAAGAGCAUCUGGUCUACAACAAUGCAAUAUAUCCCGCCACAAGCUCAAAGGAGUUCUUUAGAACAGCUAUGCAAUUAAAUAAACCUGACUCAUCGCCAAAUUAUUCCCUUGCGUGCAGAAUAAUUGACCGAUCGAUGCAUAAGGAGCUUGGGAACCCAACUGCCAAUGCCAUGGUAUCGUUGGCCCUAGAAACUGCUCUCUCCGGAUAUGGCGCUCUCGUGUUUUGUGGCAGUCGACAAGCAUGUCAGAGUAAUGCGGUGCUUGUUAGCCAUGCGAUGCCAGACGAAACAGCGUUGGACAAUGAUCUGUUGGAACGUCGGAUGGAUCUAAUCGCGGGGCUGCAAAGCCUGCCUUGUGGGCUUGACCCUGUAUUGCAAAUGACGGUCAUCAAAGGAGUGGCUUUUCACCAUGCCGGCUUAACGACGGAAGAACGCGAUUUAAUUGCGGAGGCAUACGAUAAAGGCACCCUUAGGGUGCUAAUCGCUACAUGUAGCCUAGCAGCUGGGAUCAACCUUCCUGCACGACGAGUUAUUCUUUGUGGGGCUCGAAUGGGCCGCGAUUUGGUUGGCCCAGCUAUGCUACGGCAGAUGCGAGGGCGAGCUGGUCGGAAGGGCAAGGAUGAGGUUGGGGAAACUUACCUCUGUUGCCAAAAAGACGACCUAGAGGCAGUGGCAGAAUUACUGGAGGCAGAAAUGCCUGCCAUCGCCAGUGGUUUAACCCCUGAAAAAAGGGGCAUUAAAAGGGCGCUUCUUGAGGCAAUUGCGACUAGACUUGUUUCUAGCCGGGAGUCCAUCAACGAAUAUGUAAUGUGUACCUUGCUCUACCAGAAUAUGGAAGCAGCUGAGCUAUUUUCCAUGGUGGACAAGACACUCGAGGACCUAGUCGACAACGGCCUCGUGGAUCUCGAGCAGGCCGAAUCUUACGAGCCGACGCGACUAGGGCAAGCUGUGGUAUCCUCCUCGCUCAGCCCUGAAGAUGGUAUUUUCAUUCACGACGAACUGAAGCGUGCCCUUAAAUCCUUCGUCAUGGACGGGGAGAUGCAUAUUUUCUAUAUGUUCGCGCCUCUUCAAAAUUCAAGUCCCACUGAUAUCGACUGGUCGAUUUUUCGGGACCAAAUGAACAACCUUGAUGAAAGUGGUAUUCGUGCAUUGCAGUUUGUAGGCGUAGAGCCUGCGUUCGUGAACAAAAUGGCACAGUCCGGAACUCGAAUAAAGGACGAGACGAUCGCACGCAUCUAUCAACGCGCAUAUACAGCCUUCCAGCUACGCGACCUCAGUAACGAAGUCCCCAUAUCAACAAUCGCGCAGAGAUAUAACAUCCCGCGAGGCAAUGUCCAAACCCUGGCACAAACAUGCCAUGGAUUUGCUGCAGGUAUUGUUAAAUUCUGCCAACGCAUGGGUUGGGACAUGCUGGCAGUCGUGCUAGACCACAUGCGUGACCGUCUGCAUGCCGGAGCUCGAGCUGACCUGCUGGAAAUGGCCCAGGUGGCAUAUGUCAAGAGCCGAACGGCAAGGUUAUUGUGGGAGAAUGGUUUCAAGUCCUUGAGGGCGCUGGCUGAGGCUGACCCAAAGGACCUGGUGCCUGUUUUGAUGAUGGCCCAGCCACGAAAUACGAACCUCCAAGGUUCGCAACGUGUUCCCGCGAAGCUUCUCGCAAAAGCAGAGAUCAUCGUUGCAUCCGCCAAUAAAAU
This 2918-nucleotide small RNA is filed under the name Histoplasma capsulatum. RNAcentral describes it as "hypothetical RNA". Lineage: Eukaryota; Fungi; Ascomycota; Eurotiomycetes; Onygenales; Ajellomycetaceae. The record is from RNAcentral. RNAcentral also lists the same sequence under 1 other name.